AGGAAAAGAAACCAACAGGGAUUGCCCUAGUAACGGCGAGUGAAGCGGCAACAGCUCAAAUUUGAAAUCUGGCGCAAGCCCGAGUUGUAAUUUGUAGAGGAUGCUUCUAGGUAGCGACCGGUCUAAGUUCCUUGGAACAGGACGUCAUAGAGGGUGAGAAUCCCGUAUGUGACCGGCCCGCACCUUCUACGUAGCUCCUUCGACGAGUCGAGUUGUUUGGGAAUGCAGCUCUAAAUGGGAGGUAAAUUUCUUCUAAAGCUAAAUACCGGCCAGAGACCGAUAGCGCACAAGUAGAGUGAUCGAAAGAUGAAAAGCACUUUGGAAAGAGAGUUAAAAAGCACGUGAAAUUGUUGAAAGGGAAGCGCUUACAACCAGACUUCUGGGCGGUGUUCCGCCGGUCUUCUGACCGGUCUACUCACCGUCCCGAGGCCAACAUCAUCUGGGACCGCCGGAUAAGACCUCAGGAAUGUAGCUCCCCUCGGGGAGUGUUAUAGCCUGUGGUGAUGCGGCGCGUCUCGGGUGAGGUCCGCGCUUCGGCAAGGAUGUUGGCGUAAUGGUUGUCAGCGGCCCGUCUUGAAACACGGACCAAGGAGUCUAACAUCUAUGCGAGUGUUCGGGUGUCAAACCCCUACGCGUAAUGAAAGUGAACGGAGGUGGGAAGGGUAACCUGCACCAUCGACCGAUCCUGAUGUCCUCGGAUGGAUUUGAGUAAGAGCAUAGCUGUUGGGACCCGAAAGAUGGUGAACUAUGCCUGAAUAGGGUGAAGCCAGAGGAAACUCUGGUGGAGGCUCGCAGCGGUUCUGACGUGCAAAUCGAUCGUCAAAUUUGGGUAUAGGGGCGAAAGACUAAUCGAACCAUCUAGUAGCU
RNAcentral lists this ribosomal RNA (867 nucleotides) under Ramularia eucalypti. RNAcentral describes it as "eukaryotic LSU rRNA". It matches the Rfam family "Eukaryotic large subunit ribosomal RNA", at positions 54 to 952 of the family's 3401-position model. The record is from RNAcentral. Lineage: Eukaryota; Fungi; Ascomycota; Dothideomycetes; Mycosphaerellales; Mycosphaerellaceae.